Engraulis encrasicolus (European anchovy) is the source of this 1134-nucleotide long non-coding RNA. RefSeq lists it as uncharacterized. The transcript has 5 exons. NCBI's taxonomy places the organism in Eukaryota, Metazoa, Chordata, Actinopteri, Clupeiformes, Engraulidae. The record is from RefSeq and is a predicted model, not a curated record.
ACAACUAAUUCGCACAAUGCGAAUUCCACACACAAGCCACAAAGAAGCCAUCUACCGCGGUCAACAACACCGACCUAUCUGAACAGAACCACGCGCUGUCUGUGUGGUUUCACUGUUACAAGUUUCUUGGCGACAUGGGGGAAAGUUCCUCACAUACCAACGGAAAAUGGGCUUCACAUACAUGCUGCUGUCUCAUAAUAUGGCGAAGACGAGUCACUUGAAGGCCUAACAGCUCUUAUGAGGAGCAGUCUUGCCAUAGAAGACUGAAAGAAUGAGCUGUAGAAACAACAGGGUGCCUGCUGCAGUAUGACGAGGACGCCCUGAUCAUAGAAGGUCCAGUGUCUUGGCAGGGUGAAAUGGCACUGAUAUCGGUAUGUGGUGAUAUCAGUUAAAAUUAAUGAAUUAAUUCUCAUAUCUGAAUAAUGUGAACACUGGAUUUACCACACACUCACACACACCCUAGUCCUAGAUUAUACAACCAAGGUUACUUUUACCACAGCUCUGGCACUGCAUCAAAUUUCUUUUCUUUUUUAUAGAACUGGACAGGUCAUUUAUUCGUUCCCCUUGUUUUUUGCAGUGUCCUGCUGGAUGCUGUGUCCUGCAAUCCUGUGUGCUGUGCUACAGACGCGUGUGGAGGUCAACCCGAAAUGGGCACAGUAGCGUGAAAGAGGAUCCUGGCAGGGAGACGGUAGUGUCCUGCAGGAUGGUGAUGGGCAAUCUUACAAGAGACCACAGAAAACUGAUAUAGUCUCCCAGAAGUGAGACUGAGUGCCUGUUGCAGUAUGACGAGGAAGCAGUGACCAGAGACCUUCAGUAGACCCUGCUGGCAUGAUUGGCGGCUGAAGAACAUAAUCAACAGCAAUGUUUAUAAUAUUGUACAUACCUGUAUAGUCUGCACUAAAAUGCUGUACCUGUACUAUUUUUCCUCUUACUUUCAUAUUUACUAUGAAUUGACAACUUUUACUCAAAUCCAUUUUUGUAUGUGCCCUGACUAAAACUAUCCUUAAACCUAACCUGUCAGAGGUGUAAUAACAACCUGCUCUUAGCAAUGUGGCAGCAGUCUACUUGGAUGCAGCGGGGAACAUAGAACCCUUUUUUUGAAAAAGCAUUGUAUGUUUCUGAGUUUUAUGAAUU